Molecule: transfer RNA, 90 nt
Filed under: Cronartium ribicola 11-2
Lineage: Eukaryota; Fungi; Basidiomycota; Pucciniomycetes; Pucciniales; Coleosporiaceae
Description: tRNA-Leu (TAA) (tRNA-Leu-TAA-3-1)
Rfam family: tRNA
About the family: Transfer RNA (tRNA) molecules are approximately 80 nucleotides in length. Their secondary structure includes four short double-helical elements and three loops (D, anti-codon, and T loops).
Source: RNAcentral
GGCCAGAUAGACUAGUGGUAUAAGGCAGCACACUUAAAGCUGUGUCUCAGCUCAACACUGAGGUCCCAAGUUUGAAUCUGGGUCUGGUCA